CGAUGCCGCCCCUUCCUUCCCUCUCCCUUCACCCGCUCUGCAGCACGCGGCAAGACAUACAGGCCCGCGCUACGCACGGAAGAGAUACAGCCGCAGUACACAGCCAUGAAUGAUAGGAGUCGGGUGGGUGAGAAGCUGAGGGGCUGUGCUGUUUUUGCCUCCUUAUCCAAAGAGACAAGCUGCGCGUGUAAAUGCGUGGGCCGUGUGUGUGUCUGCGCUGAAGCUGAUGUACGCGGCAUCUUUUCGCCCUUUAACGAGGGCUGUCCUUUUCUUCGCUCCUCCUCCUGCCGGUUUCUUCUAGCUUGCGCGGGGCGACCGAAACGCACAUGAGGUGACUCUUUCGUACGACGCCGACAUCAGCAUAUAUAUGUGUGUGCCCGAUGCCUGCUGUGACCUGCUUCUGCGUUUCUCCACCGCACGCCUACACUCUUCCCUGCCCGUUUUUGUCCGUCUAUUUUCCGCCCAUACGCACCCUCAAUGCUGCGCUUGCUCUGUGUAUGCUGCUGAGUCGAGCUGGCGCGCCACAG
This 527-nucleotide unclassified non-coding RNA is filed under the name Leishmania donovani. Its description in RNAcentral is "gene:unknown". The record is from RNAcentral. Lineage: Eukaryota; Euglenozoa; Kinetoplastea; Trypanosomatida; Trypanosomatidae.